RNAcentral lists this ribosomal RNA (629 nucleotides) under uncultured bacterium. Its description in RNAcentral is "bacterial SSU rRNA". It matches the Rfam family "Bacterial small subunit ribosomal RNA", at positions 222 to 864 of the family's 1533-position model. The record is from RNAcentral.
GGGAGGGGCCUGCGUCCGAUUAGCUGGUUGGUGGGGUAAGAGCCCACCAAGGCGACGAUCGGUAGCCGGUCUGAGGGGACGGACGGCCACACUGGGACUGAGAUACGGCCCAGACUCCUACGGGAGGCAGCAGUGGGGAAUUUUGGGCAAUGGGCGAAAGCCUGACCCAGCAACGCCGCGUGGAGGAAGAAGGCCUUCGGGUUGUAAACUCCUGUCCCGAGGGACGAAGUAGGUGACGGUACCUUGGGAGGAAGCCCCGGCUAACUCCGUGCCAGCAGCCGCGGUAAUACGGGGGGGGCGAGCGUUGUUCGGAAUUACUGGGCGUAAAGGGCGCGUAGGCGGUCUCGGAAGUUCUGGGUGAAAGUCCCCGGCUCAACCGGGGGAGGUCCCAGGAAACCACGGGGCUGGAGUGCUGGAGAGGGAAGUGGAAUUCCCGGUGGAGCGGUGAAAUGCGUAGAGAUCGGGAGGAACACCGGAGGCGAAGGCGGCUUCCUGGACAGACACUGACGCUGAGGCGCGAAAGCCAGGGGAGCGAACGGGAUUAGAUACCCCGGUAGUCCUGGCCCUAAACGAUGAACACUGGGUGUGGGGGGCGCGAAAGCCUUCCGUGCCGGAGAUAACUUGUUAAG